AUGACCAAGGAACUGCUGCUGAGAGCGAUAGACUUUCCAACUGAGAUGGAGAGAAUGCGCUCCUACUCUCUUUCAAUCGCCGAUGAGGAAGGUAGAGCAAUAGACAGAAUGAGUCUUAGUUUCAAUAUCCCCCGCUCUUGUUGUACUGUUCAUGGCAUGGAAUCCGCAUGGAAGGCUCUCGACCGGGUCGUGGCAUUGCUCUGGAGUGGAGCCGGGGAAGGAGCGAAGGGCAGAGGAUUUAGCUUUGGCUUUGGUUCGGUUGACCGUCUCUACAACAAAGAGAUAUGCCAAUUAGCGGCACACUUACUAUAA
This 312-nucleotide long non-coding RNA is filed under the name Vicia faba (fava bean). The record is from RNAcentral. Lineage: Eukaryota; Viridiplantae; Streptophyta; Magnoliopsida; Fabales; Fabaceae.